UUUUGAAAUAUCAAUGUAACAAAAAAAACAAAAAAAUCAUCAUCAAAUACUCAUCACGUGUAUCUACUGUACGCCAUCUCAUUGAAUCCCACUAUAGCAGUCAUGUUUUAUAUACUAGGUAAUGCAUGUAUACAUUGCAGUGAUGCAAACAAAUUCACAGCAAUGUUAGACCAGCAUAGGAUAUACCAACUGAUAUUAAAAUUACAUAUAACAAGUUAAAGAAAUGUCAAAAUCUGUGUAACCGGUUAUUUAAAAACGAUAGUGAGGCGUCUGGAUCCACAUCAUCAGACAGCGCGUAACUCUACCUCAGGAAACAUCUCCGUUUGCCCCGCGCUCUCCACGUCUGACGACACUCCCAUAUCUCUUUCUGACAUGCCAUGGUAUCAGCAAAGGGCAGAGCUAAUUAUGGCUGGAUGAAGUUCACAUGCUUCAUCUCUUCUCUCCUCUGAUGAUGCAUUUACUGGCGUGAGGGCGGGGCAACCUGUCACUUGAAAUCGACCAAUAGCAAACCACAGCCAUCCAAUCAAUUCCCAAAUGGACAAAAUCAAGUCCUGCCCUACAUUUUUUUCCCUGUUCGAGAAGCUGUUUCACUUUGGAUAUAUGUCACAAAAGAGUGUCAUUAAUCAUGCAUGAAUCCAUGAUUCCAGUUAUAGUUAAGGUUAGUUCGUUAUUCAUUCUUGAUUAGUUUAUGCCUUCAUUAUUCAUUAGUUCAUGUUUAAGUAUUUUCUGGUCCAUACAAUGAAAGUCAAUGGUCCAGUGUUGUUUUGGACUUUCAGUGAAUGACAUGAGUGUGAAUAAAAAAGCUUUAACCUUUGCUAGACUUAUCCACCACAUUUGUAUGCUUUAUUUCUUCUGACUGAUCAGGCUUAAGGUUUUCACACAGCGGAUGAUCAAAAAACUUAUAUUGACAGAAUGUCUUUGAUUUCAAACUCUAAAUAUCAAGCACAUACAAGGCCUUUAUACUGCUGCCUACUUAUCUGCUGUCUGUAUAGCUUGUAUAACCUUCAAACUCAAA
Molecule: long non-coding RNA, 1015 nt
Organism: Megalobrama amblycephala (Wuchang bream)
Lineage: Eukaryota; Metazoa; Chordata; Actinopteri; Cypriniformes; Xenocyprididae
Exons: 3
Source: RefSeq, a predicted model, not a curated record